AGAGUUCGAUUCUGGCUCAGGAUGAACGCUGGCGGCGUGCCUAAUACAUGCAAGUCGAACGCUUUGUAAAGGAGCUUGCUUCUUUACGAGGAGUGGCGAACGGGUGAGUAAUACAUAAGCAAUCUGCCCAUCGGCCUGGGAUAACAGUUGGAAACGACUGCUAAUACCGGAUAGGUUAGUUUCUGGCAUCAGGGACUAAUUAAAGUUGGGAUACAACACGGAUGGAUGAGCUUAUGGCGUAUUAGCUAGUAGGUGAGGUAACGGCCCACCUAGGCGAUGAUACGUAGCCGACCUGAGAGGGUGACCGGCCACAUUGGGACUGAGACACGGCCCAA
RNAcentral lists this ribosomal RNA (335 nucleotides) under uncultured bacterium. RNAcentral's name for it is "bacterial SSU rRNA". It matches the Rfam family "Bacterial small subunit ribosomal RNA", at positions 8 to 334 of the family's 1533-position model. The record is from RNAcentral.